UAGGGAAUAAAUGAAAUGCCUGGGACAUCAUCGUUAAGUGGCAUCUGAUGCAUAAGCAGUGCCCUAGGAAUGGGGUUGCCUGCCUUGGUCUCUAAAGGAUGGGUUCAAAAGGCAAGAGCAGCACACAAGAAGAUAGCUUCAAGCAGGAGAUAAAGCUUGGCCCAGGGCCCAAAGGGGAUACGACCCUUCAGCAAACUGACAUGCUGAAAGCUGCCCUAUGGAGAGGCUCAUGUGGCAAGGAACAGAGGGUGGCUUCUGGCCAACACCCAGUGAGGAACUCAGGCCCUCAGUCAAACAGCCUGCAAGGAACUGAACCCUGCCAAUAACCAGGCAGUGUCAGCCCCCGGCCAAUGACCACCAUGGACCUCCCUGUAGUUGAACAAAGUUGGGUUUGCUGACUGGUGGCAGUGAGGGAGAAUGCACACCACAGGGAGCUGUGCAGUGUCUCAGUAAGAAGCCAGGAGCCAUCCCGUGAGGCCGUUACUGCAAACAAGCUGAAAAUCCUGCUUUGUUUCUUUUGGACACAACAUGCUUUCCUUCAGCUUCAGUAGACGAUGAGGCCAGCACCACAUGGGCUAGAUGUACAUGAGAUGUGAGCAACCACACUUCCCCUCUGACGGGGACAGACAGCAUCACAGGACAUGAAGUUCUAAGAGGUUCAGUGACUUGUCUAAGAUUAAACAGCUAUGAAUGGAGAACUGGAGGCAAAUGCUGAGCUCUGAAACUUCUCCUGGCAGUUCAAGAGAGCGAUGGAGGGAAUGCUGGGGCACAUCUAAAUAAAGCCUCCAAGUGGGAGUUCCUGCUCAGCUAUGCAUGAGCUCUUUGUGACUUCAUCUCCCAGCCUACAACUUGUGAAAUAAGCACGACUUCACUCAGAGCACAGCCAGAAACAUACAAACUUUCCAAAAAUAUUUGAAUGUUGACAGCA
RNAcentral lists this long non-coding RNA (928 nucleotides) under Homo sapiens (human). RNAcentral describes it as "CSMD2 antisense RNA 1". The record is from RNAcentral. Lineage: Eukaryota; Metazoa; Chordata; Mammalia; Primates; Hominidae.